UCACUUGGCAUAUACAACAGAAUUUCUCAGAAUCUAAUACACAUUUUCAAAACCCGGAAAAUCAUGAACUACAAGCCUUUGAAUAUCUAAUAAAGAAAGAAAAUACAGAAGGACUAAUAUCUAAAAGCAAGAAUAGAAAGGGAUUCAUCGGUCUGCGGACGCGGAAGAUGUACCUCAAAGUCUCCAAGGAAGUCUCCUCGCCUUAAGGGUUGUAGGACUGAGUCGAUAUACCUGGAUAUGCAGAUGAAAAACAUGCGAAAAAAGGAAAUGAGUACAGUACAUCGGUACUCUGUAAAUGCCAAGCCUAACCUCGAUCGGGUAGUGAUGAGGCAGGGCCCUAAUGAGGUUAAAUAAAAUAUAAAGUUUGACAUUGUAGAACAAAGCAGUAUAAAUAAAUACAGUAGUAAAAGUAAUACAGAUUAUAUAAAAUGGCAACAACAACCACAAUAGAAACCAGGCAAACACAUAAAGAAACAUAAUUUAGCACCAAAAUGACGAUCAUGUAUCUCCCAAGAGACCGUCAUGUAGUCCCAAAUAUACAUAUACAAUAGAUAUCCCGAGAUUCCAUCCCGUAGUCAAACUCAUAGUGCAUGGGCGUCUACCAGAAUACCGUUCGAUAGUCCCAAAUGUAGAUACCGAGUACUGGGGGAACCUACCGGGUGCAUUCCCAUAGUUUCAUAUAACUGUGCAGGGGGAUCUACUGGAAUCCCACAUCCGUAGUCCCAGUGUAAAUAUUCAAAUAUGUCAAGUUUCAUAUUAAGGCAACAAGUAAUCCUAGCUUAGCAUGCUGCACAGAACUCAGGUAACGUAGUUUGAACAAAUAAGCAAUUAAAUCACUUAGACAUGCUUUCCUAAGCUAAGAACAUGCUAAAUAGUUCACAUAGUAAAAAUAGGAAAGUAAAAAAUACAAUAGUAUUUACUUAAUGAAAAAUGAGUUUCGAACAAUUGGCACAAGUACACACUCGUCACCUCACACACAAGGCAUUUCAAUUACAAAUAAUAGAAAAUCCUGAGAAAAAGGUGCCUCACACAAGAUUAGGCAAGCCACUGACCUCGAUCAGGCUAAAAUCAACCUGAUACCACGUUCAUACCACUAGUACUCGAUUCCAAAUGGCCCAAAUCUAUUCAAUUCAAUUGCAUAAUAUAAAUUACACAUCAAGUAACUGAUUUUAUAAUUAAAAUCUAAGCCAAUGCACGAAAUUAGGUAAAAUCACCAAAGCACCUCUUGGCCCACAUCUCGGAAUCGAAUAAAAUUUAUAUUUUUAGAAUCCUCACGCUCUCAGGAGUUCAUGCAUACCAAAAUUAUCCAAAUAUAAGGUCAAAUUCCCAAUAAAAAGUCGAAUUCUAUGAAAAAGAACAUUCUUCCAACUUUUCCCCAAUUUUCAUCUUCAAUCCGAAAUUAAAUGACGAAUUCAUGUUUGGAUUAUGGGUUACAAGAAAAAAAAUUAAGAAUCAUUACCCAAUCGAUAUCGCUGAAAAUCCCUCAAAACCUCGCUCAAAUUCGAGCUCCCAAGCUUUAGUUUUCACAAAAAUGACUAAACCCUCGGCUUUGAAAUUUUAUAUUCUGCCCAGAUGCGUUCUUCUUCGCGAAUGCGAGACUACUAUUGCGAAUGCAACGUACAAAAAUCCUACUGGCCAACUUCCUCUUUUGCGAACGCAUAGCUUACACUGGCAGGACCCACGCGAACGCAAAGACUAAAGGGUCCAUACCCUCGCGAAUGCGGGACAUCAUCGCGAAUGCAAAGCACGAUUCAUCUGCUUCACCUAGAUGCUCUACGCGAACUCAAGACCCUCUCGUAAAGGCGAUGAAUGUUUUCUCUGCAACAUAACAGUAAAAAAUCUGCAAUCUCUCCAAGUCCAAAAAUUGUCCGUUGAGCAUCUGAAACAUACCCGAGGCUCCCGGGGUCUCAACCAAACCUACCAACACAUCCCAUAACUUCAUUCAAACUUAUUCCAACCUUCAGAAUGCUCAAAACAACAUCAAAAUACCCUAUUUUUCAUCGGAUUCAAGCCUAAGAAUUCUAAAAACUCUAAAAAUACACUUUCGAUCAAAAAGUCUACCAAACCUCGUCCGAAUAACCUGAAAUUUUGCACACACCUCACAUUCAACACUACAGAGCUACUCCAACUUUUUUCGGAAUUCCCUUGGAUAAAAAUCCCACUAUCGAACCGAAAAUUUAAAAAAAUUUAACUUUUGGCAUUUCAAGCCUAAAUUAGCUAAGGACCUCCAAAACACUAUCUGAACACGCCCCUAAGCCCAAAAUCACCAAAUGUAGCUAACAGAACCAUCGGAUUUCCAUUCCAAGGCCAUCUUCACACUGUUCUGACUACGGUCAACUUUCCAACACAUAAGCUCUCAUUUAGGACUAAGUGUCCCAAAACUCUCCGAAACUCAAAACCGAAUAUCCCGGCAAAUAAAAAUAGUAGAUAUUAACUCGGGGAAGAAGUUAAUAGCAGAUCGGGACGUUAAUUCUUAAAACGACAUGCCGGGUAGUCACAUAGUCAAAGCCUACAGAUAAGCUACGAUUCCAGAACAUUAUGCAAACAAGACGUCAAGGAAAGACAGUAACGCUCCCUGCCCAGAUGUUAUUAAUAGAUAAGAAGCCAGUGCGAACAUAAUUCAAGUCAAAGGAAAUAACCCAAGAAUGAUUACACGGAAUAUUGAUAUGAGAAUGGGCCAACAAAUAGUUAGUGAUUGAUGAGAAAGAGCCCAACUAUGGCUAAAUAGGUGGUUACAAACGAGUCAUCCAAUCGUAUAAGAUAAACAUAGUAAAACCCACCAUGGAGAAUACAACCUCGCAGUAAUAUUAUUAUAAUACAUGCGAUAUAUUCAAAUAGGAGUCGAAAUAGUUAAAAGUAUCGUAUGAGUAUCAUGGGGAUAAAAGAAACUGCCACUAGGAAGACAGUAUAAAAUGUCUUUUCAGAAGCAACCCUACAAGCACAGGGGUGAGGAGGUAAAUAACUAAGGAUAAUUAUAGGCGAGGAACGACGUCAAAAGUUUUGCCAAGUAUAUCCGAUGUAACAACCUCGCAGCUUUGUAAGAGUCAGAGGGUCCUUCCUAAAUACUACGAUAAAGGACUAACUGAGGAAACAAGGAAGAAGACUUCAAUCUAAGCAUAACUACCUAAACAGGAAAUGGUCAGUUAACAACAUGUGAAAAUAAUAAAAUUACGUAAUAAUCCCGAAAUUGGUCAAACCCGACCCUCGAGCCCACGUUUUGGAUUUCGAUAAAAAUCAGAAAACUAGAACAUUUACACUCUCACGAGUUCAUAUAUACCAAAUACAUCAAAAUUUAACAACAAACGACCCCACAAAUUCUUAAAUCAAAGUCUCCAACUUCAAGUCCUAAUUCUCCACGUUUAGGCUUUAAAUUCUACUAAUUUUAGGCGUAAUUGAGUAGAAAUCAAUAGAGAAUCGAGUGUUGAGUUCAAAAACCCUACCUUCAAGUGUUUCCCUUUGAUUCCCUCUUCAAUCUCUCUCAAAAAACUCAAAAUACGGCAGACAAUGGUGAGAAAUGGCCUAAAAUUCGUGAAGUUGGCUAUUUAAACAUUCUGCCAAGAUAUAUUUUCUUUUUCACGAACGCGGUCAAGGCCUUGCUUUGGCGAAGCACAAAAUUCAUUGACCAAUUAAAUCCUCUUUCGCGAAUGCGAAAAGCUCCUCGGGAACGCAAUGCUUCAACCGCCAAAGCAUUCACGAACACAACUAUGCUUACGUGAACCCGAAGCACAAAGCUCCUGGGUCCCAACUUCCCCAAUUACUCUACGCGAAUGUGUGACCGACUUCGCGUUCGCGAUGCACCCUCUACCUCACCGUUCGCGAAUGCGGGACCAACAUCGCGAUUGCGAAUAGCAAUUCCCCUGCCUUACUCCACAUAUCUUCGCGAAUGCGAUAGCCCUCUCGCGAACGCGAAGAACAAAACUCUACAACAAAAACAUCAGAAAAUCUGCAACUCUCCACAACCACGAAUUGGUCUGUUAACCAUCCGAAACUCACCCGAAGCCGUCGGGACCUAAACCAAACAUGUCAACACAUCUCAAAACAUCAUUCAAACUUAUUCCAACCUUCGUAACGCUCAAAACAACAUCAAAACAUCAAAUCACCCUCAGAUUCAAGCCUAAGGAUUCAAAAAUUCCAUAUUCCGAAUUCGAUCAAAAAAUCUAUCAAACCUCGUCCGAAUGACUUGAAAUAUGGCACAUACGACCUAAACGACACAACGGACGUUCUGCAACUUUCGGAAUUCCGUUCUGGCCCCAAUAUCACAAUUUUUACUACCAACCGGAAAGCGCCAACAUUCUAAUUUCGCCAAUACAAGCCUAAAUCUACCACAGACCUUCAAAUUACUUUUGAACACGCUCCUAAGUCCCAAAUCACCUCACGAAGCUAUCUGAAUCAUAAAAAUCAAACUCCGAAUCUUUUACUCACAGGUCAACUUUCGGUUGACGUUUCUAACUAAAUGGCCCACUUAAGAGACUAAGUGUCUCAUAACACUCCAAAACUAUCCCAAACUCGAACCAACCAAUGCGAUGCAAUGAAGUGUAGUUGAACAACAUAUAAGAAGCAGAAAUGAGUGAAACAGAGCAGUUAACUCAUGAAACGACCGGCCGGGUCGUUACACUUUUGAACAUUCAACUUCCAAUACCCAUAUCGAACCAUAUCAAAUCAACCCGGAAUGAACUCAAAGUUUACACACAAUUCCCAAGUGACAUAACGAAGCUAUUCCAAUACCCGAAAUAAUAAUUUGAACCCGAUAUCAUUCCGUCAAACUUAUUGAAAUUUCAAAACUUCAAAUUGCCAACUUUCACCAAAUAGUGCCGAAACCUUCCAGAAACAUCCAAAUGCAAAUCCUAACAUACACCCAAGUCAACAAACACCAUCCAAACCUAAUGAAUCAUCAAGACUCCGGUCUGAGGUGAAUACUCAAAAUUCAAACUUGGUAAACUCUUCCAACUUAAAUCUUCAAAUAUGAAAUUCAUUCUUCCAAACUAAUUCUGAAUCACCCGAAGACCGAAACCAGCGAUACGCACAAUUCAUAAUAUAUCAUAUGAAACUACUCAAGGCUUCAAAUAGCUAAACAAAAAUACAAAUGAACAAAACAACCAGUUGGAUCGUUACAAAAAUUCUAGCAAGCUUUACUUCACUUACCUUUUUCUGUCACAAAAUAGUUAUUCUUAAACUUUUGAAAGAAAAGGUCACUCAGUUUGCGAUCAAUCCCUCAGCAGUUUCCUAGCAACGUCCAGCACAGAAGAAAUUCAGAUGCUAUGAACCUACUCGAGUUUCCACCCUUCUGGAAAACGCGUCUGCCUUGAGUGGGAUUUGUAUAUUUAGUCCGCACUACUACGAAUUUUCUAAGUUUACUUCCAAAACGCCAAACGAGGCCUCAUCUAAAGAAAGAACGAAAUAAAGAAAGAAAGAAGAAUGAAGGGGAAAAAAAGGGAAAUCAAGAGGGUGCACUUUCACCAGGUCAACUUUUAAUUGUAUUCUACGGAUAGAAGCACUAUAUACGAAUUUAAUCAAUAAAAACUGAACUUCAACAUCCUUUGUUAAACUGAUAGUUCUUUGGCGUUUUGUUUCUUCUCUCUAUCUAUUUGCCUGGAAGCUGGUAAUCAAAUUUUCACCAUAUACACAAUUUUUACAUAAAGAGGUUAGUUAAAUAUGAAAUAGAAGUGAUUUUCUAAUGCAACAAUAAGUGGUUAUCAUGAAUAAAAAAAGGGUAAGUAAACUAUCAAAAUCGAUCAAACUUUAUGAAACGUGUAAUUCUAAUUUACAGCGGAAAUAACUUAAUUCAUCUGGUGAUAUGUAUUGGUUUGAUGAGCCAUACUUAGACUAAUAUUAAACAACAAAAAAGUAAUGUAUUAUUUAUGUUUUACCUGACCAGUAAAAAUAGUGAUGGAACCAGGCCCCUGUGUUUGUUGAAGGAAAUUUCCGUAAAGGUGUGGAGCCAUGACAUAACAGAGAAAAGAAUUCCAGGUCGAAGUCAUCAUAUCUAUAAAGGUGGGACGGCAGCUUCCAC
RNAcentral lists this long non-coding RNA (6010 nucleotides) under Nicotiana benthamiana. Its description in RNAcentral is "long non-coding RNA (NBEN_LNC021896)". The record is from RNAcentral. Lineage: Eukaryota; Viridiplantae; Streptophyta; Magnoliopsida; Solanales; Solanaceae.